UACGAAGGGGGCUAGCGUUGCUCGGAAUCACUGGGCGUAAAGCGCACGUAGGCGGAUCGUUAAGUCAGGGGUGAAAUCCUGGAGCUCAACUCCAGAACUGCCUUUGAUACUGGCGACCUUGAGUUCGGGAGAGGUGAGUGGAACUGCGAGUGUAGAGGUGAAAUUCGUAGAUAUUCGCAAGAACACCAGUGGCGAAGGCGGCUCACUGGACCGACACUGACGCUGAGGCGCGAAAGCGUGGGGAGCAAACAGG
This 253-nucleotide ribosomal RNA is filed under the name uncultured bacterium. Its description in RNAcentral is "partial 16S ribosomal RNA". It matches the Rfam family "Bacterial small subunit ribosomal RNA", at positions 524 to 776 of the family's 1533-position model. The record is from RNAcentral.